AUGGAGGAUUAGCUCAGCUGGGAGAGCACCUGCCUUACAAGCAGGGGGUCGGCGGUUCGAUCCCGUCAUCCUCCAC
Molecule: transfer RNA, 76 nt
Filed under: Bacillus thuringiensis Bt407
Lineage: Bacteria; Bacillati; Bacillota; Bacilli; Caryophanales; Bacillaceae
Description: tRNA-Val
Rfam family: tRNA
About the family: Transfer RNA (tRNA) molecules are approximately 80 nucleotides in length.
Source: RNAcentral